GUCGAACGCUGGCGGCGUGCUUAACACAUGCAAGUCGAACGGACAGGCCUCUUUCGGGGGGUAAUCGAGUGGCGAACGGGUGAGUAACACGUGAGUAACCUGCCCAUCACUUUGGGAUUACUUCAGGAAACUGGGGCUAAUACCGGAUAGAAGCUCCUGCGGCAUGGUGGGGGUUGGAAAGUUUCGCCGUUGGGCGAUGGACUCGCGGCUUAUCAGCUCGUUGGUGGGGUACUGGCUUGCCAAGCCUUUGACGUGGAGCCGGCCUGAGAGGGUGACCGGCCACAUUGAAACUGGGAGACAGCCCAGACGCCAACGGUCGGCAGAAGUGGGGAAUGUGGGUCAAGGGGUAGGGGCGUGAUACUGCAACGACGAGGGCGGGAUGACGGCGUUCGGGUUGUGACCCGCUUACGCUCAAGACGACGCUUUGUGUGACGGUAAUGGGUGAAGAAGCCCCGGCUAACUACGUG
This 467-nucleotide ribosomal RNA is filed under the name uncultured bacterium. RNAcentral describes it as "partial 16S ribosomal RNA". It matches the Rfam family "Bacterial small subunit ribosomal RNA", at positions 28 to 507 of the family's 1533-position model. The record is from RNAcentral.